UGUGAAGUCUUUCAAACGAGAUUUGAGGACUUCAGUAAUUCAGUCAGAGGUUACCUAUUGCAGGCGUGGCUGGGGGGAGGUUUUAUGGCCUGCAGUGUGAAGGAGGUCAGACAAGACGAUCAUGAUGGUCUUUUCUGGCCUUAAAGUCUCUGAGUCUGUGAGAUUCACCCACCAGGGCAGGAAAUCCCCUACUGAAGAGGUGGGUCUUUACGGCUUCUGGAGGGAAAAUAAAAUAAUUCUUGUAUACAGCUAAUCAGGGGCAACAUGCAGCACUUGCCUGGGCGUGGUGGGGGGAAAUGAUGUAUAAUCUUCAGAUCCAAUUAGCCUCAGCAUAUGAGUGAGAGGAAGAUAACCUGCUCUUUUUAGGGGGUCCUGUGCAUCUAUGUCUCCAAGGAUAGAGAGGAGGGACCUUUGCAGGUCCAGAGCUUCCUCCCCAUUCCUGCCAUAUUCUGCAAUUCUUUCUUCCCCACUCAAGCUGCCUGGAGCCUUCCUUUGCCUCUAGAAUGCCGAAUCCUGAGUAGCUCCUGUGAUGUAUCUAACUAAAAGCAAUUAUUGUAUGAUACACCUAACCUCAAUAAGAGUGUUUGCUUUGAAUUUGGAACUAUCAUACAUUAAAAUCCAUAUUUAUAAAGGGCAGCUUAUUCCCACGCUCUCUCUAAACUCACCUGGCCUGACUUUCAUAAGAUGUGGCCCACAGGCUACAUUUACAUGGAAAAUUGCUGCAAAUGAAUGUGUAAAUCUGGCUUUUGUACAUGCAGCUGUAUUUAAAUGUGCAAAAAAAGGGUGUAGAUAGGGGAGCACAAAAAUGUUGGCAAACUCCAAUGGGGCCCACAGAGAUGCAUUUUCUAAUGGACCACUAGAAUUGCACCCAUGAUAUUUGCAGGUGAUUCCAUUUACUUAUGCAAAAAUCUGCAUUUGCAUAGCUGACUGCUCAGCUGUAAACAAUUACCCAAUGUGAGGAACACAUGUGCUUUUGCACGUGCAAGUAAACCUACGGUACGUCUACACAGCAAAGAAAAACUCACAGCUCAGUUUCAGUGGAUUUCCUCCAUAUUUACACUGGUGUAACUCAGAACAGAAUUUGGACCUAACUGAUGGUUUUUUUGCUCAUCCACUUACAUAGUUUUUCUCAUUGCAAAUUCCAGUCUAAUCCUCCCCAUGACUCCUCACAUGAUCCUUCUAUCUCCAUUCCUUCCCCCACUCCCAUUGCAUAUGCAGUUGCUGGAGAGUCAGUAAUGCAACAUUUUCUCAGUUUGAUGGUUGAGAAACAUUAAUUUUUUGGAGAGAAGGUUUGAUUUUUGGCUCAUAAAUGUCCUCCAAUGAGAAAUGCAAAGUAAACCUUCUCCCCUCUGCCUCACUGCUGCUUAGCCUGUGUGUAGCAUCUGUUGCACCUCUGUGUUUCUAGCUAUAUAAUCUCUGUACACUCAAACACAGACACUAGUUUUAGGAUAUGCUAAGUUGUGAACAAACCCAAGAAAAGCUAGGAAAUUCAAAGUUAAUGACACAGUUCCAGACAAAACGUGAGCCAAAUUUUCAAUGGCCCUUCUUACCUGCACCUGUGGUAUUGGCAACUGUGUCUGUUUGGGCAUACAGAAGCUGUGUGUGUGUCCACAUGGAUGCAGAAGAAGAAAUGUCCUUAAAACAAAACCCAGGAUCUGAACCCCAGGAAACUUUGAAAGUUUUCAAAAUCUGGUCCCAGAUCUUGCUUUGAAUGUUGCAAAGGUCCCCCAUCUUUGUAAUGGGCCAGUUCAAAAACUGGGUAUGAAACCAUACUGAAUUUGGGGGUGUUCAAAGUCCACGUUAGAAUGCAAUUUUUGCAAUUUGUGCACAUCUGACAAAGAACUGAGGUUGCAGACAUCACAAGCUCAGUCCAGAGCAGGCCUUUGGAGACUAUGGCCCGGCGAUGUAAGAGCGGAGGCACCAGCCCAAAGUUGAAUUUCCCAACAUUUGGGAAAGGACUUUAACAUUAUUUAAAUGUAGAUUUUGUAUGUGAAUGUCCUUGCUGGCUUAUUUUCUUAACAUUAAUUUCUAAACAAACAAAAAAUGUCAAGGAAAUUAAUGAAAAACAUAUUGUUUGACCCAGAGAGCCAUUGUAGGUACUUUGGCAAAUCAUGUAAUGAAUCAGAUAUGUAAAAAAUAUUUUUAAAGCAGCUUCAUGGAUUCAGGUAUCUUCAGCAGGGUCAUUUCUAUUUGCAGGGUAAAUAGGGAUAUUUAGACAUUUUAAAAAUGAUUUUUACCCUACCAGUCAAUUAGAAAUAAAAAACAUACAUUAAAAUAUUUAAAUAGCA
This 2288-nucleotide long non-coding RNA is filed under the name Chrysemys picta bellii (western painted turtle). RNAcentral describes it as "lncRNA (ENSCPBG00000027194.1)". The record is from RNAcentral. Lineage: Eukaryota; Metazoa; Chordata; Testudines; Emydidae.